Molecule: small RNA, 770 nt
Filed under: Vigna angularis var. angularis
Lineage: Eukaryota; Viridiplantae; Streptophyta; Magnoliopsida; Fabales; Fabaceae
Description: Non-protein coding transcript
Source: RNAcentral
CUUCUCGAGAGCAGGGAACUUGUUGGAGUGGUUAGAGGAGUCAUUAAGAAUGUAGGAACUCUUUCUGGAUCACUCUUGAAGAUGGGUUACAUCCUAGGCCUCAGAGUCUCUCCUUCUUACAGGAGAAAAGGGGUUGCACUAAGACUUAUCGCUGCAGUUGAAGAAUGGAUGGUGAGAAAUGGAGCUGAGUAUGCAUUCCUAGCCACUGAAAAGGAUAAUGAUGCUUCUAAAAACCUAUUCACUGUCAAAUGCAAUUAUGUGAACCUUAGCUCACUUGUCGUAUUCGUCCAACCAAUUAGUUCCAUGACAAAGCAUAUUUCCAGGGAUAUAAAAAUAGAGAAAGUGGACAUAGAUCUAGCAAUUUCGUUAUACAGAAGAACCUUGAAAACAAAAGAUUUGUAUCCACUAGAUAUGGACGUUAUUCUGAAGGAGAAACUCAGCAUAGGCACGUGGGUAAGUUAUUAUAAGAGAGAGGGCUGGCUCAAUUUGCGAAGCAAGGUAGAUAAUGAAGAAGAUCUCAUUAGCAGUGAAACUUCAAACUCAUGGGUGAUUUUUAGUAUUUGGAACACUUGUGAAGCUUACAAGUUUCAAGUUAGAAGGUCUCAACUAGUAAGGUUUCUUCUUACAACCUUAAAUCAGGCAAGAGAGAGAGUUUUCCCUUGUCUCAAGAUGUCGGUGAGUAACUCACUUUGUAGAUCCUUUGGUUUUCUCUUUCUUUAUGGAAUCUAUGGGCAGGGAGAAAACCUUGGAGAGCUCAUGGAAUCCAUGUG